AUUGAACGCUGGCGGCAGGCCUAACACAUGCAAGUCGAGCGGAUGAAGGGAGCUUGCUCCUGGAUUCAGCGGCGGACGGGUGAGUAAUGCCUAGGAAUCUGCCUGGUAGUGGGGGAUAACGUCCGGAAACGGGCGCUAAUACCGCAUACGGCCUGAGGGAGAAAGUGGGGGAUCUUCGGACCUCACGCUAUCAGAUGAGCCUAGGUCGGAUUAGCUAGUUGGUGGGGUAAAGGCCUACCAAGGCGACGAUCCGUAACUGGUCUGAGAGGAUGAUCAGUCACCCUGGAAUUGAGACACGGUCCCGACUCCUACGGGAGGCAGCAGUGGGGAAUUUUGGCCAUUGGGCGAAAGCUUGAUCCAGCCAUGCCGCGUGUGUGAAGAAGGUCUUCGGAUUGUAAAGCACUUUAAGUUGGGAGGAAGGGCAGUAAGUUAAUACCUUGCUGUUUUGACGUUACCAACAGAAUAAGCACCGGCUAACUUCGUG
This 484-nucleotide ribosomal RNA is filed under the name uncultured bacterium. RNAcentral describes it as "partial 16S ribosomal RNA". It matches the Rfam family "Bacterial small subunit ribosomal RNA", at positions 30 to 507 of the family's 1533-position model. The record is from RNAcentral.